Molecule: transfer RNA, 81 nt
Filed under: Pseudomonas putida
Lineage: Bacteria; Pseudomonadati; Pseudomonadota; Gammaproteobacteria; Pseudomonadales; Pseudomonadaceae
Description: tRNA-Ala
Source: RNAcentral
CACCUGGUCGACGAUGGACAGGUCAAGGUUUUUUGGCACAAAACCGGCGCCGAUGCCCUGGAUCUUGUGCGGGCUGGGUUU